GAUGAACGCUGGCGGCGUGCCUAACACAUGCAAGUCGAGCGAACGGACGAGAAGCUUGCUUUUCUGAUGUUAGCGGCGGACGGGUGAGUAACACGUGGAUAACCUACCUAUAAGACUGGGAUAACUUCGGGAAACCGGAGCUAAUACCGGAUAAUAUUUUGAACCGCAUGGUUCAAAAGUGAAAGACGGUCUUGCUGUCACUUAUAGAUGGAUCCGCGCUGCAUUAGCUAGUUGGUAAGGUAACGGCUUACCAAGGCAACGAUGCAUAGCCGACCUGAGAGGGUGAUCGGCCACACUGGAACUGGGACACGGUCCAGACUCCUACGGGAGGCAGCAGUAGGGAAUCUUCCGCAAUGGGCGAAAGCCUGACGGAGCAACGCCACGUGAGUGAUGAAGGUCUUCGGAUCGUAAAACUCUGUUAUUAGGGAAGAACAUAUGUGUAAGUAACUGUGCACAUCUUGACGGUACCUAAUCAGAAAGCCACGGCUAACUACGUG
RNAcentral lists this ribosomal RNA (497 nucleotides) under uncultured bacterium. RNAcentral describes it as "partial 16S ribosomal RNA". It matches the Rfam family "Bacterial small subunit ribosomal RNA", at positions 28 to 507 of the family's 1533-position model. The record is from RNAcentral.